UGCGGAUUCGUAUAAUGGAAGUACAGCCGACUCUGAAUCGGUAGGUAUAGGUUCGAUUCCUUUAUCCGCAG
RNAcentral lists this transfer RNA (71 nucleotides) under Clostridium porci. Its description in RNAcentral is "Clostridium sp. WCA-389-WT-23D1 tRNA-Gln". It matches the Rfam family "tRNA". Rfam says of the family: Transfer RNA (tRNA) molecules are approximately 80 nucleotides in length. Their secondary structure includes four short double-helical elements and three loops (D, anti-codon, and T loops). Lineage: Bacteria; Bacillati; Bacillota; Clostridia; Eubacteriales; Clostridiaceae. The record is from RNAcentral.